UCCAGACUCCUACGGGAGGCAGCAGUGGGGGAUAUUGCACAAUGGGGGGAACCCUGAUGCAGCGACGCCGCGUGGGUGAAGGAGCGUUUCGGCGCGUAAAGCCCUAUCGGCAGGGAAGAAGGAGGACGGUACCUGACUAAGAAGCCCCGGCUAACUACGUGCCAGCAGCCGCGGUAAUACGUAGGGGGCAAGCGUUAUCCGGAUUUACUGGGUGUAAAGGGGGCGCAGACGGCAGCGCAAGCCAGGAGUGAAAGCCCGGGGCCCAACCCCGGGACUGCUCUUGGAACUGCGCGGCUGGAGUGCAGGAGGGGCAGGCGGAAUUCCUGGUGUAGCGGUGAAAUGCGUAGAUAUCAGGAGGAACACCGGUGGCGAAGGCGGCCUGCUGGACUGCGACUGACGUUGAGGCCCGAAAGCGUGGGGAGCAAACAGGAUUAGAUACCCUUGUAAG
RNAcentral lists this ribosomal RNA (448 nucleotides) under uncultured bacterium. Its description in RNAcentral is "partial 16S ribosomal RNA". It matches the Rfam family "Bacterial small subunit ribosomal RNA", at positions 330 to 793 of the family's 1533-position model. The record is from RNAcentral.